Molecule: ribosomal RNA, 758 nt
Filed under: Paenimyroides ummariense
Lineage: Bacteria; Pseudomonadati; Bacteroidota; Flavobacteriia; Flavobacteriales; Flavobacteriaceae
Description: bacterial SSU rRNA
Rfam family: Bacterial small subunit ribosomal RNA
Source: RNAcentral
UUGCAUCGCAGUAUACCAUGCAGUCGAGGGGUAGAGUAAGCUUGCUUACUUGAGACCGGCGCACGGGUGCGUAACGCGUAUGCAAUCUACCUUAUACUAAGGGAUAGCCCAGAGAAAUUUGGAUUAAUACCUUAUGGUUAAUUUAGUUGGCAUCAAUUGAAUUAUAAAGAUUUAUUGGUAUAAGAUGAGCAUGCGUCCCAUUAGUUAGUUGGUAAGGUAACGGCUUACCAAGACGAUGAUGGGUAGGGGUCCUGAGAGGGAGAUCCCCCACACUGGUACUGAGACACGGACCAGACUCCUACGGGAGGCAGCAGUGAGGAAUAUUGGACAAUGGGCGCAAGCCUGAUCCAGCCAUGCCGCGUGCAGGAUGAAGCAUCUAUGGUGUGUAAACUGCUUUUGUACGGGAAGAAAAAACGCUACGAGUAGUGUACUGACGGUACCGUAAGAAUAAGGAUCGGCUAACUCCGUGCCAGCAGCCGCGGUAAUACGGAGGAUCCAAGCGUUAUCCGGAAUCAUUGGGUUUAAAGGGUCCGUAGGCGGCCUUAUAAGUCAGCGGUGAAAGUUUUUGGCUUAACCAAAAAAUUGCCAUUGAUACUGUAGGGCUUGAAUAUUUGUGAAGUAACUAGAAUAUGUAGUGUAGCGGUGAAAUGCUUAGAUAUUACAUGGAAUACCAAUUGCGAAGGCAGGUUACUAACAAAUGAUUGACGCUGAUGGACGAAAGCGUGGGUAGCGAACAGGAUUAGAUACCGUGGGUACAC